RNAcentral lists this ribosomal RNA (253 nucleotides) under uncultured bacterium. RNAcentral's name for it is "partial 16S ribosomal RNA". It matches the Rfam family "Bacterial small subunit ribosomal RNA", at positions 524 to 776 of the family's 1533-position model. The record is from RNAcentral.
UACGGAGGGGGCUAGCGUUGUUCGGAAUUACUGGGCGUAAAGGGCGCGUAGGCGGACUUGUAAGUCAGGGGUGAAAUCCCAAGGCUCAACCUUGGAACUGCCUUUGAUACUGUGGGUCUUGAGUCCGGGAGAGGUGAGUGGAACUGCGAGUGUAGAGGUGAAAUUCGUAGAUAUUCGCAAGAACACCAGUGGCGAAGGCGGCUCACUGGCCCGGAACUGACGCUGAGGCGCGAAAGCGUGGGGAGCAAACAGG